Molecule: ribosomal RNA, 473 nt
Filed under: uncultured bacterium
Lineage: Bacteria
Description: partial 16S ribosomal RNA
Rfam family: Bacterial small subunit ribosomal RNA
Source: RNAcentral
UGGGGAAUUUUGGACAAUGGGGGAAACCCUGAUCCAGCCAUCCCGCGUGUGCGAUGAAGGCCUUCGGUUGUAAAGCACUUUUGGCAGGAAAGAAACGUCGCGGGUUAAUACCCCGCGAAACUGACGGUACCUGCAGAAUAAGCACCGGCUAACUACGUGCCAGCAGCCGCGGUAAUACGUAGGGUGCAAGCGUUAAUCGGAAUUACUGGGCGUAAAGCGUGCGCAGGCGGUUCGGAAAGAAAGAUGUGAAAUCCCCAGAGCUUAACUUUGGAACUGCAUUUUUAACUACCGGGCUAGAGUGUGUCAGAGGGAGGUGGAAUUCCGCGUGUAGCAGUGAAAUGCGUAGAUAUGCGGAGGAACACCCGAUGGCGAAGGCAGCCUCCUGGGAUAACACUGACGCUCAUGCACGAAAGCGUGGGGAGCAAACAGGAUUAGAUACCCUGGUAGUCCACGCCCUAAACGAUGUCAACUAG